Molecule: non-coding RNA, 21 nt
Filed under: Caenorhabditis elegans
Lineage: Eukaryota; Metazoa; Nematoda; Chromadorea; Rhabditida; Rhabditidae
Source: RNAcentral
UUUUCGUGGAACAAACACACU